AAAUCCGGGAUUCUAAGGCCGAGAGCUGAUGACGAGUUAUCUUUUAGAUGACGAAGUGGUUGAUGCCAUGCUUCCAAGAAAAGCUUCUAAGCUUCAGGUAACCAGGAACCGUACCCCAAACCGACACAGGUGGUUGGGUAGAGAAUACCAAGGCGCUUGAGAGAACUCGGGUGAAGGAACUAGGCAAAAUGGCACCGUAACUUCGGGAGAAGGUGCGCCGGUGAGGGUGAAGCAUUUACUGCGUAAGCCCAUGCCGGUCGAAGAUACCAGGCCGCUGCGACUGUUUAUUAAAAACACAGCACUCUGCAAACACGAAAGUGGACGUAUAGGGUGUGACGCCUGCCCGGUGCCGGAAGGUUAAUUGAUGGGGUUAGCUAACGCGAAGCUCUUGAUCGAAGCCCCGGUAAACGGCGGCCGUAACGAUAACGGUCCUAAGGUAGCGAAAUUCCUUGUCGGGUAAGUUCCGACCUGCACGAAUGGCGUAACGAUGGCGGCGCUGUCUCCACCCGAGACUCAGUGAAAUUGAAAUCGCUGUGAAGAUGCAGUGUAUCCGCGGCUAGACGGAAAGACCCCGUGAACCUUUACUAUAGCUUUGCACUGGACUUUGAAUUUGCUUGUGUAGGAUAGGUGGGAGGCUUUGAAGCGUGGACGCCAGUUCGCGUGGAGCCAACCUUGAAAUACCACCCUGGCAACUUUGAGGUUCUAACUCAGGUCCGUUAUCCGGAUCGAGGACAGUGUAUGGUGGGUAGUUUGACUGGGGCGGUCUCCUCCUAAAGAGUAACGGAGGAGUACGAAGGUGCGCUCAGACCGGUCGGAAAUCGGUCGUAGAGUAUAAAGGCAAAAGCGCGCUUGACUGCGAGACAGACACGUCGAGCAGGUACGAAAGUAGGUCUUAGUGAUCCGGUGGUUCUGUAUGGAAGGGCCAUCGCUCAACGGAUAAAAGGUACUCCGGGGAUAACAGGCUGAUACCGCCCAAGAGUUCAUAUCGACGGCGGUGUUUGGCACCUCGAUGUCGGCUCAUCACAUCCUGGGGCUGAAGCCGGUCCCAAGGGUAUGGCUGUUCGCCAUUUAAAGUGGUACGCGAGCUGGGUUUAGAACGUCGUGAGACAGUUCGGUCCCUAUCUGCCGUGGACGUUUGAGAUUUGAGAGGGGCUGCUCCUAGUACGAGAGGACCGGAGUGGACGAACCUCUGGUGUUCCGGUUGUCACGCCAGUGGCAUUGCCGGGUAGCUAUGUUCGGAAUAGAUAACCGCUGAAAGCAUCUAAGCGGGAAACUAGCCUCAAGAUGAGAUCUCACUGGGACCUUGAGUCCCCUGAAGGGCCGUCGAAGACUACGACGUUGAUAGGUUGGGUGUGUAAGCGCUGUGAGGCGUUGAGCUAACCAAUACUAAUUGCCCGUGAGGCUUGACCUA
This 1411-nucleotide ribosomal RNA is filed under the name metagenome. Its description in RNAcentral is "bacterial LSU rRNA". It matches the Rfam family "Bacterial large subunit ribosomal RNA", at positions 1538 to 2925 of the family's 2925-position model. The record is from RNAcentral.